GCUGGAUGAUGAAAAACUUUUCCACAUUCGCAGUUUUCACCCUAGCCGUCGCUACGAACCUAAUAGACGGACGAUGAGGGCCCAAUCUUCCUUGGAUGUCUGACACA
RNAcentral lists this small nucleolar RNA (107 nucleotides) under Zymoseptoria tritici IPO323. RNAcentral's name for it is "Zymoseptoria tritici small nucleolar RNA SNORD14". The record is from RNAcentral. Lineage: Eukaryota; Fungi; Ascomycota; Dothideomycetes; Mycosphaerellales; Mycosphaerellaceae.